AGCGAACGCUGGCGGCAGGCCUAACACAUGCCAGUCGAACGGAUCCUUCGGGAUUAGUGGCGGACGGGCGAGUAACACGUGGGAACGUGCCCUUUGGUUCGGAACAACUCAGGGAAACUUGAGCUAAUACCGGAUGAGCCCUUCGGGGGAAAGAUUUAUCGCCAUUGGAGCGGCCCGCGUCUGAUUAGCUAGUUGGUGAGGUAACGGCCCACCAAGGCGACGAUCAGUAGCUGGUCUGAGAGGAUGAUCAGCCACACUGGGACUGAGACACGGCCCAGACUCCUACGGGAGGCAGCAGUGGGGAAUCUUGCGCAAUGGGCGAAAGCCUGACGCAGCCAUGCCGCGUGAAUGAUGAAGGUCUUAGGAUUGUAAAAUUCUUUCAGCGGGGACGAUAAUGACGGUACCCGCAGAAGAAGCUCCGGCUAACUUCGUG
Molecule: ribosomal RNA, 433 nt
Filed under: uncultured bacterium
Lineage: Bacteria
Description: partial 16S ribosomal RNA
Rfam family: Bacterial small subunit ribosomal RNA
Source: RNAcentral